GAUGAAGAACGCAGCGAAAUGCGAUACGUAAUGUGAAUUGCAGAAUUCAGUGAAUCAUCGAGUCUUUGAACGCACAUUGCGCCCCCUGGUAUUCCGGGGGGCAUGCCUGUCCGAGCGUCAUUGCUGCCCUCAAGCACGGCUUGUGUGUUGGGCCUCCGUCCUCCUCCCGGGGGACGGGCCCGAAAGGAAGCGGCGGCACCGCGUCCGGUCCUCGAGCGUAUGGGGCUUCGUCACCCGCUCUUGUAGGCCCGGCCGGCGCUUGCCGACACAUCAAUCUUUUUUCCAGGUUGACCUCGGAUCAGGUAGGGAUACCCGCUGAACUUAAGCAUAUCAAUAAGCGGAGGA
RNAcentral lists this unclassified non-coding RNA (345 nucleotides) under soil metagenome. Its description in RNAcentral is "partial contains 5.8S ribosomal RNA, internal transcribed spacer 2, and large subunit ribosomal RNA". The stretch from base 1 to 120 matches the Rfam family "5.8S ribosomal RNA", at positions 35 to 154 of the family's 154-position model. The record is from RNAcentral.